UACGAAGGGGGCUAGCGUUGCUCGGAAUCACUGGGCGUAAAGGGUGCGUAGGCGGGUCUUUAAGUCAGGGGGGAAAUCCUGGAGCUCAACUCCAGAACUGCCUUUGAUACUAAAGAUCUUGAGUUCGGGAGAGGUGAGUGGAACUGCGAGUGUAGAGGUGAAAUUCGUAGAUAUUCGCAAGAACACCAGUGGCGAAGGCGGCUCACUGGCCCGAUACUGACGCUGAGGCACGAAAGCGUGGGGAGCAAACAGG
This 253-nucleotide ribosomal RNA is filed under the name uncultured bacterium. RNAcentral's name for it is "partial 16S ribosomal RNA". It matches the Rfam family "Bacterial small subunit ribosomal RNA", at positions 524 to 776 of the family's 1533-position model. The record is from RNAcentral.